This 250-nucleotide small RNA is filed under the name Colobus angolensis palliatus. Its description in RNAcentral is "Metazoan signal recognition particle RNA (ENSCANG00000009026.1)". The stretch from base 135 to 250 matches the Rfam family "Metazoan signal recognition particle RNA". The record is from RNAcentral. Lineage: Eukaryota; Metazoa; Chordata; Mammalia; Primates; Cercopithecidae.
GCCAGGCAUGGUGGCUCAUGCCUGUAAUCCCAGCACUUUGGGAGGCUGAGGUGGGUGGAUCACCUGAGGUCAGGAGUUCAAGACCAGCCUGGCCAACAUGGCGAAACCCCAUCUCUACUAAAAAAUCAAAACUAGCCGGGCAUGGUGGCUCAUGCCUGUAAUCCCAGCACUUUGGGAGGCUGAGGUGGGUGGAUCACCUGAGGUCAGGAGUUCAAGACCAGCCUGGCCAACAUGGUGAAACCCCAUCUCU